GGCCUUGUGGUGCAAAGGUAGCGCGUCUGACUCCAGAUCAGAAGGUUGUGUGUUCAAAGCACAUCAAGUUCA
RNAcentral lists this transfer RNA (72 nucleotides) under Merluccius polli (Benguela hake). It matches the Rfam family "tRNA". From Rfam's summary of the family: Transfer RNA (tRNA) molecules are approximately 80 nucleotides in length. Their secondary structure includes four short double-helical elements and three loops (D, anti-codon, and T loops). The record is from Rfam by way of RNAcentral. Lineage: Eukaryota; Metazoa; Chordata; Actinopteri; Gadiformes; Merlucciidae.